RNAcentral lists this long non-coding RNA (3918 nucleotides) under Homo sapiens (human). RNAcentral's name for it is "HSALNT0372602". Lineage: Eukaryota; Metazoa; Chordata; Mammalia; Primates; Hominidae. The record is from RNAcentral.
AAAAAAAAAAAAAGAAAAAAAGAAAAAAAAAUCCUGUCAUUUUCAGCACCAUGGCUGGAACCAGAAGUCGUUAUGUUUAGUGAAAUUAGCACAAAAAGUGAAAUGGGCACAAAAUUUAGUGAAAUGGGCACAAAAAGAUGACUAUUGCAGGUUCUCACUUAUAUAUGGGAGCUUAAAAAAACGUGGAUUUCAUGAAGAUAGAGAGUGAUUGGAGCUUACCAGAGGCCAGGAAGUGUAGAGGGAAGGGGGGAAAUGAAGAUUGAUUGAUUAAUGGGCACAAAUAUCAGUACAGUGACUACAGUUAAUAUUAAUCAAUUGUACAUUUCUAAAGAGCUAGGAGAGAACAAUUUGAAUGUUUCUAGAGUAAAGAAAAGACAAAUAUUUAAGGUGAUAAAUAAUUACCCAAAUUUGAUAUGAAUAUAUCAAAUUAUCACAUACACUGCAAAAACAUGUACAACUAUGUGUUAAUAAAAUAUAAAUCAAUUUAAAAAGAAAAAAUAUGUAUUUUGAUAAAAUGUGUAAUAUAUUUGGCAACUUUAAAUAGAGGGCUACACUGGUAAACCUGAAGGAAAGCAAAUUUACCAUGGAUUUUGUGACCUUUCCAUACCAUUUUGAUGGAUAAUUUGGGCCUUCUAAUCCAUAAGUUGAGAGAAGAACAUCAAUUACCUGUAGGCUCAUACAGAUCACUCACCUUGCCCAGGACGCUGCCUCCAAACAGGUAAGAAACAUAUAUCACAGAAGGGCAUGAUUACUGGCAUUAACAUCAGCCAAUGGCCAGGAACUUGAUCCAACAUAUCCUGGCUAUUCUCUUCCUACUCUAAUGAACACCUUCCUACUUAUUCAUCCUUCAAGGUUGAAAUCAAUGUCACCUUCUUUGGAAAGCUUUCCCAAGCCUAAUUAAUUACUUUCUCCUUUAUGCUUUUAAAGCACUUCUACCUAUAUCUGUAAAAUAACUUAAUCCAGUAGCUUUCCCCUUAUCUGUAGUUUCACUUUCCACAGUUUCAGUUACCUGUGGUCAGUCAUUGUUCAAAAAUAUUAAAUGAGGAAUUCCAGAAAUAAACAAUUCAUAAGUGUUAAGUGCUAUCUUAUGAUGCCUGUGACAUUCACCUCACUUCAUCUCAUUACAUCAGCAUUUUAUCUUCUCCAAUCAUCACAAGGAAAAGGGUGAGUACAGUACAAUAAAAUAUUUGGAGAGAGGCCACAUUCACAUAGUAUGCAGGAUUGUUAUAAUUAUUCUGUUUUAUUAUUAGUUACUGUUGGUUAUCUCUUACUCUGCCUAAUUUGUAAAUUAAACUUUAUCAUAGGUAUGUACAUAUAGGAAGAAAACAUAGUAUAUUUAGGGGUUGGUACUAUCUGCGGUUUCAGGCAUCCACUGGGGGUCUUGGAAUGUAUGCCCCAUUGAUAAGAAGGAACUGCUUUAUUUAUAUCUCUGCAUGAUCUCUAACUGCCUGAGACUCAGAGACAAAGUCUAGUUUUCUGUACAAGUCUACCUUCUAGCAUAGUUUUUGGCACUUGUGACUUUUCCCUUUCAUUAUAAUCAUAGUACUUCAUCUUAUGGUACACAUAUUCUCUCAUCUUUUAAAGUUUUUCUAAUUUUCAUUUCUGUGAAACCUGCAAAGAAGUGUAAAAGAUCACAUGAUCAAGGACACAGUGAAUAGACAGCCAGCUUCCCAUGCCUCUUGAAAUCUUUUAGAGAGAAGUGAGAAAUUUGGUAAGUCAGAGAAACCUAGAUUCCCAGUCGCAAGUCUUUUAUAGAAUUAGGCAGUAUGGGGAUCACUGCUCUCAGGUGCAGGCUAUUACUAUGUGAUCCUUGCUGUGUCUAAAUUCCAUCCUUCCAUAGUCAGUUUCCUAUUUCAUCUAGCUUACAGCAGGCCUACCAUCACUUACUAUAUUACAUAGGUUCUAGCAUGCAUACCAAAUACUUGUAUUUUGGCUUCAGUUUUCACUUCUUUCCAGUUGUCUAAUUUGAUGGUUCAGUAAUUUCUUACUCCUCUACACCUUAAACAAGUCACAGCAUGCCCUUCUAAUAUUCCCAUAGUGCAAUUCCUAUGCUUUACCCAACUCAUCAGCCUUUCUCCAAAGCUUUGUUGAAGCUUCACUUGGUCCUGGUUUAAAUAUGUAUUGCUGAAGCAGAAUGCUUUGACCCUACUAGGUACUCACACUCACUCAAAUACCCUUUGCUCCAAUAAAUAAAUAGGCCCAACUUUUUUGUCUCAAAUUCAUAACAAAUAUUCUGAUAGAAAUAACAAACAAGAAAAUAAAACUUACAAUGGCUGAAUUUUACCUGGAGAGGACAGUAAAGAAUCAUGACGUCUUUGUGAAAACAACAGUGGCCCAGGGAAAAUCAGAUCUUAGUAAAAGUAAUGAACACAAAAUAGAACUUACACCAACUAAAACAGUAACAAGGUGUCAUUUGUUGUGGAACACAAAUUGACAGAAGAAUCAAAGCUUGGUACUAUUUAGAUCAUGUACAGUGAAAUUUCAUAUAAUUAAUGGCCAAACGUACACAUUUAUAAUGGUAGAAUUGUAGUUGAUAAUUCUUGUCUAUAAUUGAUAAAACUUGAUAUGGGCAAAAAGUUUUCCAUGAAUCAAACCCCUAUUUAAUUUACAGAAAAAUGAUAGCAUUGGAGCAUUUUAGAAAGAUAAAAAUGAAGGUGAACAAAAAGUGAAAAUGGUUCAAGUGCAUUGAAUAGACAAUUCAUCUAGUAGUUAAAUUCAUUUAAUGAAAUUCACUCUGGAAUAUACCUUUUCCACAAAAAUUCAUCUAUGUCAGUAUACUUAUUGAAACACUUGUAAUUUUAAGCAUGGGGUCAAAACAUCUCCAUGUCAAAAUAGCUGGAUCAAAAUGCUGUUUGCCCAUUUCAUGCCAGAAGUUCCUCCAUUAUAACCACUGAUGCUUCCCUUAGAAGUCUGUAUGUAAAUGAUUUGGGACUUCACUGGGCCAUAUGUCACCAUUAAUAACAGAAAGUGUUUGUGGGUUUGCUUUUCUUCUUUAGAAAAUGAAGAGAUUGUUUUUAUGGAUAAUGGUAUUUAGGGAUUUUUUUUUCUAUUGUUUAAAUUAAUAGUCAAUAUAUUUUAAAGGAUUAGGUGUUGGGGAGGAAAUAACAGGAAAAUUAAGUUUACUCUGCCAAACAGGCAUUAUCCCUGAGAAGUAGUUCCUUCUUAUUCUGCACUAUAAAUCCUUUUAUCACCAUGUAUAUUUCUACAGGGGCUACUGCUAUCUUGCUUUGGUAGUUACAGUAAAUCAAGAUAAAGACACCAGUCUGCUUGGACUUGUGGAGAGGUAGCAAACAGUCCACAGACAGUUUGCUCAUUUCGGAAGAAAGCUCCUGACUGAGGUUCUUUAGAUGCGUUUAACGGAGGGACAGCUGUGCAGAAGCAUCACUGUCUCACUCUUUUCCAGACUGAUCAAAUGAAGCGUCUGUCAUGUCACACAUAUGGAGUUCUCUACCAACAGCAAAGGCUAUUUAGUCAAGUUCUACAGAUCAAAAGUCUAACACUGGUGUUAUUGGGCUGAAAUCCAGGCGAUGGCAGAGCUGCGCUCCUUUCUGGAGGCUCCGGGGAGAAUUCUCUUCCUUAACCUUUCAAGCUUCUCGAGGCCCUCUGCACUCCCUGGAGACAGGAGGAGAGAAGAAUCAUGGACUCCCUGGGCACAGCACCGCAGGUGGCUUUGCCAGUUCUCCCAGCCCCGCGCUGCUCCUGCGCCUGCGCUGAGCCUCCACGUGUCCUCAGGAGACUUAGCCUAGCCUGGGUAUCACCAGCAGUGGGCCAGGCCGCUUUGCCUUCAACUCCCAACAGUAACCUUGCAGAGGUCAGCCUGGGGCCACCAGGAGGAGUUAGUAAGAGCUUAUCCUGUGGGGGCACUCACUGGGGCUGGUGGCCGGGAAAUCCCAGGUGUUUUGUUGGUUUGAGUUUUGU